Molecule: ribosomal RNA, 1394 nt
Filed under: metagenome
Description: bacterial SSU rRNA
Rfam family: Bacterial small subunit ribosomal RNA
Source: RNAcentral
AGAGUUUGAUCCUGGCUCAGGAUGAACGCUAGCGGCAGGCCUAAUACAUGCAAGUCGAGGGGUAACAGGGUAGCAAUACUGCUGACGACCGGCGCACGGGUGCUUAACGCGUAUGCAACCUACCUUUAACUGGGGGAUAGCCCCGAGAAAUCGGGAUUAAUACCGCAUAACACUGUGAUAUGGCAUCAUAUUACAGUUAAAACUCCGGUGGUUAAAGAUGGGCAUGCGUGACAUUAGUUAGUUGGUAGGGUAACGGCUUACCAAGACUACGAUGUCUAGGGGUUCUGAUAGGAUGAUCCCCCACACUGGUACUGAGACACGGACCAGACUCCUACGGGAGGCAGCAGUAAGGAAUAUUGGUCAAUGGACGCAAGUCUGAACCAGCCAUGCCGCGUGCAGGAAGACGGCCCUAUGGGUUGUAAACUGCUUUUAUAUAGGAAUAAACUCAUGUUCGUGAACAUGACUGAAGGUACUAUAAGAAUAAGGACCGGCUAACUCCGUGCCAGCAGCCGCGGUAAUACGGAGGGUCCAAGCGUUAUCCGGAUUUAUUGGGUUUAAAGGGUGCGCAGGCGGACCUAUUAGUCAGUGGUGAAAUCUCGGGGCUCAACUCCGAAACUGCCAUUGAUACUGUAGGUCUUGAGUUUGGUUGAAGUGGGCGGAAUGUAGCAUGUAGCGGUGAAAUGCAUAGAUAUGCUACAGAACACCGAUCGCGAAGGCAGCUCACUAAGCCAAAACUGACGCUCAGGCACGAAAGCGUGGGUAGCGAACAGGAUUAGAUACCCUGGUAGUCCACGCCGUAAACGAUGAUCACUCGUCGUUGGCGACACAUUGUCAGUGACCAAGCGAAAGCGAUAAGUGAUCCACCUGGGGAGUACGUUCGCAAGAAUGAAACUCAAAGGAAUUGACGGGGGCCCGCACAAGCGGUGGAGCAUGUGGUUUAAUUCGAUGAUACGCGAGGAAUCUUACCUGGGCUCAAAUGUAAGUUGACAGGUCCUGAAAGGGAUUUUUCUUCGGACAAUUUACAAGGUGCUGCAUGGUUGUCGUCAGCUCGUGCCGUGAGGUGUCGGGUUAAGUCCCAUAACGAGCGCAACCCCUAUUCUUAGUUGCCAUCAGGUCAUGCUGGGGACUCUAGGAAAACUGCCUACGCAAGUAGAGAGGAAGGUGGGGAUGACCUCAAAUCAGCACGGCCCUUACGUCCAGGGCUACACACGUGCUACAAUGGCCGGUACAGAGGGCAGCCAUCCCGCGAGGGAGAGCGAAUCUCGAAAGCCGGUCUCAGUUCGGAUCGAAGUCCGCAACCCGACUUCGUGAAGCUGGAAUCGCUAGUAUCGCGCAUCAGCCAUGGCGCGGUGAAUACGUUCCCGGGCCUUGUACACACCGCCCGUCAAGCCAUG